GCCUGGGUGGCUCAGUUGGAGAAGCGUCUGACUUCGGCUCAGGUCAUGAUCUCACGCUUCGAGGGUUCAAGCCCCACCUCGGGCU
Molecule: transfer RNA, 85 nt
Filed under: Felis catus (domestic cat)
Lineage: Eukaryota; Metazoa; Chordata; Mammalia; Carnivora; Felidae
Rfam family: tRNA
About the family: Transfer RNA (tRNA) molecules are approximately 80 nucleotides in length. Their secondary structure includes four short double-helical elements and three loops (D, anti-codon, and T loops).
Source: Rfam by way of RNAcentral